Molecule: ribosomal RNA, 497 nt
Filed under: uncultured bacterium
Lineage: Bacteria
Description: partial 16S ribosomal RNA
Rfam family: Bacterial small subunit ribosomal RNA
Source: RNAcentral
GAUGAACGCUGGCGGCGUGCCUAAUACAUGCAAGUCGAGCGAACGGACGAGAAGCUUGCUUCUCUGAUGUUAGCGGCGGACGGGUGAGUAACACGUGGAUAACCUACCUAUAAGACUGGGAUAACUUCGGGAAACCGUAGCUAAUACCGGAUAAUAUUUUGAGCCGCAUGGUUCAAAAGUGAAAGACGGUCUUGCUGUCACUUAUAGAUGGAUCCGCGCUGCAUUAGCUAGUUGGUAAGGUAACGGCUUACCAAGGCAACGAUGCAUAGCCGACCUGAGAGGGUGAUCGGCCACACUGGAAAUGAGAAACGGUCCAGACUCCUACGGGAGGCAGCAGUAGGGAAUCUUCCGAAAUGGGCGAAAGCCUGACGGAGCAACGCCGCGUGAGUGAUGAAGGUCUUCGGAUCGUAAAACUCUGUUAUUAGGGAAGAACAUAUGUGUAAGUAACUGUGCACAUCUUGACGGUACCUAAUCAGAAAGCCACGGCUAACUACGUG